GGCAAAAAUAAUAACCAUGAUUAUCUUGAUCACGAUUGUAACUGUAAUUAUUAAUCGCGAUUAUUCCUCAUAGUGGCACGUUCUCACACUUCUGAGGACUGGGGUUCAAAUCCCGGCCCAGUCUGUGUGGAGUUUGCAUGUUUUCACCGGGCCUGCAUGGCUUUUCUCCGGGCACUCCACAAAGUUUCCUCCCACAUCCCCAAAACAUUGUAUGUUAAUUGGACUCUAAAUUGCCCAUAGGUUUGAAUGUGAGUGUGAAUGGUUGUUUGUUUUUAUUUGCCCUGCAAUUGUCGGGUGAUCAGUUCACGUGCACCCCGCCUCAUGCCCGAAGAUAGCUGAGCUAGGCUCCAGCACUCCAGCGACGCUUGUGAGGAUAAGCGGCUAACAGAAUUGACUGAUGGAUGGAACACUGAAGGCUGAUAAAUUCAGAGGGCUGCGUCGGGAGCAGCAUUUGGAUUCAAAUGUGGCCAAACAAACGGCACCGGUGGAAAUUCAACUACUGUGGGUCAAAGACCAAGGAGAAAGGUGGAAAGCAGCUUCUUCAGCAGAAAGAGAAGAGGAAAGCAGAGCCUACAUCUACAGUUAAGAUGGUCCUACCGGGGAGGAGACCCCGGGGAUGACCCAGGACAUGUUGGAGAGACCACGUCACUCAGCUGGCCUUGGAAACCCUCGGGAUCCCCCCAGAAGAGAUGGACGAAGUGGCUGGGGAAAGGAAAGUCUGGGCAUUCGUUAAAGCUAGUGCACCUACGACCUGUCCUCAGGUUAACAUGAAUGUAUGAAUGAAUGGUACUUUGUGUGGACAAAAUUGCG
Long non-coding RNA from Syngnathoides biaculeatus (alligator pipefish), 810 nucleotides. RefSeq lists it as uncharacterized. Lineage: Eukaryota; Metazoa; Chordata; Actinopteri; Syngnathiformes; Syngnathidae. The record is from RefSeq and is a predicted model, not a curated record. The transcript has 3 exons.